This 72-nucleotide transfer RNA is filed under the name Camelus bactrianus (Bactrian camel). It matches the Rfam family "tRNA". Rfam says of the family: Transfer RNA (tRNA) molecules are approximately 80 nucleotides in length. Their secondary structure includes four short double-helical elements and three loops (D, anti-codon, and T loops). Further hydrogen bonds mediate the characteristic L-shaped molecular structure. tRNAs have two regions of fundamental functional importance: the anti-codon, which is responsible for specific mRNA codon recognition, and the 3' end, to which the tRNAs corresponding amino acid is attached (by aminoacyl-tRNA synthetases). tRNAs cope with the degeneracy of the genetic code in two manners: having more than one tRNA (with a specific anti-codon) for a particular amino acid; and 'wobble' base-pairing, i.e. permitting non-standard base-pairing at the 3rd anti-codon position. RNAcentral also lists the same sequence under 1 other name. The record is from Rfam by way of RNAcentral. Lineage: Eukaryota; Metazoa; Chordata; Mammalia; Artiodactyla; Camelidae.
GGAGAUAGAGCUCAGUGGAGGAGCACGUGCUUGGUGUGCAUGAGGUCUUGGGUUUAAUCCCCAGUACCUCUG